AGAACGAACGCUGGCGGCAUGCCUAACACAUGCAAGUCGAACGCCUGUGGCAAUACAGGAGUGGCGCACGGGUGAGUAACGCGUGGGAACCUACCCUGGAGUGGGGGAUAACCGAGAGAAAUUUCGGCUAAUACCGCAUACGACCUGAGGGUGAAAGAUUUAUCGCUCUAGGAGGGGCCCGCGUCGGAUUAGCUAGUUGGUGGGGUAACGGCCUACCAAGGCAACGAUCCGUAGCUGGUCUGAGAGGAUGAUCAGCCACACUGGGACUGAGACACGGCCCAGACUCCUACGGGAGGCAGCAGUGGGGAAUAUUGGACAAUGGGGGCAACCCUGAUCCAGCAAUGCCGCGUGAGUGAUGAAGGCCUUAGGGUUGUAAAGCUCGUUUCGGCGGGGACGAUGAUGACGGUACCGCAGAGAAGCCCCGGCUAACUUCGUGCCAGCAGCCGC
This 447-nucleotide ribosomal RNA is filed under the name uncultured bacterium. RNAcentral's name for it is "SSU rRNA". It matches the Rfam family "Bacterial small subunit ribosomal RNA", at positions 26 to 518 of the family's 1533-position model. The record is from RNAcentral.